This 151-nucleotide non-coding RNA is filed under the name Nomascus leucogenys (northern white-cheeked gibbon). The record is from Rfam by way of RNAcentral. Lineage: Eukaryota; Metazoa; Chordata; Mammalia; Primates; Hylobatidae.
GCCAGGCAUGGUGGCGCGUGCCUGUAGUCCUAGCUACUCGGGAGGCUGAGGCAAAAGAAUCACUUUAACCCAGGAAGCAGAGGAGGAUGCAGUGACAUGAGAUCAUGCCACUGCACUCCAGCCUGGGUGACAGAGUGAGACUCUGUCUCAA